RNAcentral lists this ribosomal RNA (554 nucleotides) under Hepatozoon canis. RNAcentral's name for it is "bacterial SSU rRNA". It matches the Rfam family "Eukaryotic small subunit ribosomal RNA", at positions 221 to 761 of the family's 1831-position model. Lineage: Eukaryota; Apicomplexa; Hepatozoidae. The record is from RNAcentral.
GCCAAUGCAUGCUUUUACAGUAUGAAAAUUGGUGAUUUAUAAUAACUUAGCAAAUCGCAUAGUGAAAACAGGCGAUAAAUCAUUCAAGUUUCUGACCUAUCAGCUUUCGACGGUAUGGUAUUGGCUUACCGUGGCAGUGACGGUUAACGGGGGAUUAGGGUUCGAUUCCGGAGAGGGAGCCUGAGAAACGGCUACCACAUCUAAGGAAGGCAGCAGGCGCGCAAAUUACCCAAUUCUAACAGUUUGAGAGAGGUAGUAACAAGAAAUAACAAUACAAGGCAGUUAAAAUGCUUUGUAAUUGGAAUGAUAGAAAUUUAAACCCUUUUUAAAGUAUCAAUUGGAGGGCAAGUCUGGUGCCAGCAGCCGCGGUAAUUCCAGCUCCAAUAGCGUAUAUUAAAAUUGUUGCAGUUAAAAAGCUCGUAGUUGAAGUUCUGCUAAAAGUAACCGGUCUGCUUUGAAUAAAAGUGGUAUCUUGGUAUGUAUUUAGCAAUGAUGUCCUUUGAAGUGUUUUUUACUUUAUUGUAAUAAAGCAUAUUCAGGACUUUUACUUUGAG